GACGAACGCUGGCGGCGUGCUUAACACAUGCAAGUCGAACGGAAAGGCCCUGCUUUUGUGGUGUGCUCGAGUGGCGAACGGGUGAGUAACCCGUGAGUAACCUGCCCUUGACUUUGGGAUAACUUCAGGAAACUGGGGCUAAUACCGGAUAGGAGCUCCUGCUGCAUGGUGGGGGUUGGAAAGUUUCGGCGGUUGGGGAUGGACUCGCGGCUUAUCAGCUUGUUGGUGGGGUAGUGGCGUACCAAGGCUUUGACGGGUCGCCGGCCUGAGAGGGUGACCGGCCACACUGGGACUGAGAUACGGCCCAGACUCCUACGGGAGGCAGCAGUGGGGAAUAGUGCACCAUGGGCGGAAGCCUGAUGCAGCAACGCCGCGUGCGGGAUGACGGCCUUCGGGUUGUAAACCGCUUUCGCCUGUGACGAAGCGUGAGUGACGGUAAUGGGUAAAGAAGCACCGGCUAACUACGU
RNAcentral lists this ribosomal RNA (467 nucleotides) under uncultured bacterium. Its description in RNAcentral is "partial 16S ribosomal RNA". It matches the Rfam family "Bacterial small subunit ribosomal RNA", at positions 28 to 506 of the family's 1533-position model. The record is from RNAcentral.